UAACGGCGAGUGAACAGGGAAAAGCCCAGCACCGAAGCCUGUGGUCAUUUGGCCCCUAGGCAAUGUGGUGUUCAGGUUAGCUCGCGAAGAUGCUGCUCCACCCUAAGUCCUAUAAUGAGUAAGGUUACUCGGACAUGGCCCAAUGAGGGUGAAAGGCCCGUGGGGGUGGAGAUUCAGAAUGGCCAGUAUCUUCCUGAGCAGACCUUGGAGUCGGGUUGUUUGUGAAUGCAGCCCAAAGCGGGUGGUAAACUCCAUCCAAGGCUAAAUACUAGCACGAGUCCGAUAGCGAACAAGUACCGUGAGGGAAAGUUGAAAAGUACUUUGAAGAGAGAGUAAACAGUGCGUGAAACCGUUCAGAGGUAAACAGGUGGAGUUGAACUGCAAGCUCUGAGGAUUCAGCUGGUGAGUAUGGCAUGAGCUUGGUCAUAUUGGUUGUGUGCUCGGGUCUGCUUAGCUGCAGGUCCCCGCUUCGGUGGGGAUGCGCGAAUCACUCAUCAGGUGUUGUGCGCCCGGGUACUGACGGACCUGCUUGCCAGUGCACUUUCUCAGAGUGUUCACCACGACCGACGUUGCUGUCUGGCUGUUGCGGUUAAACCGGCUUGGUAGGGUCCUUGUGUCCUUGCUAGGUCGGGAUGGCAGGUAGCCCGUUGUGCGAUUUAUCGUGCUUCGGGUGUAAUAGCCGACUGCUUCGGUUCUGUGCGGUACGUCGGAGACGGCGGCUUGUUGUGCGUGCGGGCGUGCCUGUCGCGCCGGCGGCUCUGGGUCUGGUUGCCUUGUUGCUUGUGAAUGCAGGCCAGGUGAUGGCUCGGUGUCGUUCGGUCGGCGGUUGCGUUUGUUGCACUUUGAAAGGGCCCACAGUCUGUGGUGUAGUGGUAGACUAUCCACCUGACCCGUCUUGAAACACGGACCAAGGAGNAGUAACAUGUGCGCGAGUCAUUGGGCGUUACGAAACCCAAAGGCGCAGUGAAAGUGAAGGCUCGGCUUGUCUGGGCUGAGGUGAGAUCCUGUCGUUUCUCAUGCGCGGUACUACCAAGCUUCGAGCGGCAGGCGCAUCACCGGCCCGUCCCAUGGCGUAGAGGCAGCCUCGUGCUUGCUCAUCGUCGGGGCGGAGCAUGAGCGUACAUGUUGAGACCCGAAAGAUGGUGAACUAUGCUUGCGCAGGUUGAAGCCAGAGGAAACUCUGGUGGAGGACCGCAGSGAUUCUGACGUGCAAAUCGAUCGUCAAACGUGAGUAUAGGGG
RNAcentral lists this ribosomal RNA (1240 nucleotides) under Fasciola hepatica (liver fluke). Its description in RNAcentral is "partial large subunit ribosomal RNA". Lineage: Eukaryota; Metazoa; Platyhelminthes; Trematoda; Plagiorchiida; Fasciolidae. The record is from RNAcentral.